CAGUAGCCGCGGUAACACGUAGGGUGCGAGCGUUAAUCGGAAUUACUUGGCGUAAAGCGUGCGCAGGCGGUUGUGUAAGACAGGUGUGAAAUCCCCGGGCUUAACCUGGGAACUGCGCUUGUGACUGCACAGCUAGAGUAUGGCAGAGGGGGGUGGAAUUCCACGUGUAGCAGUGAAAUGCGUAGAGAUGUGGAGGAACACCGAUGGCGAAGGCAGCCCCCUGGGCCAAUACUGACGCUCAUGCACGAAAGCGUGGGGAGCAAACAGGAUUAGAUACCCGGGUAGUCCCUGUCUCUUAUAC
Molecule: ribosomal RNA, 301 nt
Filed under: uncultured bacterium
Lineage: Bacteria
Description: partial 16S ribosomal RNA
Rfam family: Bacterial small subunit ribosomal RNA
Source: RNAcentral